This 253-nucleotide ribosomal RNA is filed under the name uncultured bacterium. RNAcentral's name for it is "partial 16S ribosomal RNA". It matches the Rfam family "Bacterial small subunit ribosomal RNA", at positions 524 to 776 of the family's 1533-position model. The record is from RNAcentral.
UACAGAGGGGGCAAGCGUUGUUCGGAAUUACUGGGCGUAAAGGGCGCGUAGGCGGCCUGUUAAGUCGAACGUGAAAUCCCCGGGCUCAACCCGGGAACUGCGUCCGAUACUGGCAGGCUUGAAUCCGGGAGAGGGAUGCGGAAUUCCAGGUGUAGCGGUGAAAUGCGCAGAUAUCAGGAGGAACACCGGUGGCGAAGGCGGGUCUCUGGGCAACAACUGACGCUGAGGAGCGAAAGCGUGGGGAGCGAACAGG